AGACUUGGUCUCCUACUCUCCUUUUCACUACUUCACUUCUUUUUUUCUUCUUCUUUCAUUCAAUUCAGUUUUCUUCUGCCUGGCUUUUUUAUUUUAUUUUUUAGACAACUGGCUUGGUGGCUUGAGUUGUUGUCUCAUGACUGGCUGGCCCUAGCUUUACUAGUUUAUUUAUUUCAGUAAAUACAUGAUUUGUCUUUAUUAUGUUUAAAAUUUCCAGAUUUAUUUGUAAGGGCAUACGUC
Molecule: long non-coding RNA, 240 nt
Filed under: Linum usitatissimum (flax)
Lineage: Eukaryota; Viridiplantae; Streptophyta; Magnoliopsida; Malpighiales; Linaceae
Description: long non-coding RNA (LUSI_LNC004364)
Source: RNAcentral